UCUAUCCCCAAUAACCCA
This 18-nucleotide transfer RNA is filed under the name Diaphananthe spiralis. Its description in RNAcentral is "partial tRNA-Leu". The record is from RNAcentral. Lineage: Eukaryota; Viridiplantae; Streptophyta; Magnoliopsida; Asparagales; Orchidaceae.